GCGAACGGGUGAGUAAUACAUAAGCAACCUGCCCACGAAGACUGGGAUAAUCCUUGGAAACGAGGACUAAUACCGGGAUAGGUUACGAAUUCGCAUGAAUUUGUAAUUAAAGGUUAGAAACACUGGUGGAUGGGCUUAUGGUGCAUUAGCUAGUUGGUGAGGUAACGGCCCACCAAGGCGAUGAUGCAUAGCCGGGCUGAGAGGCUGAACGGCCACAUUGGGACUGAGACACGGCCCAGACUCCUACGGGAGGCAGCAGUAGGGAAUUUUCGGCAAUGGGGGAAACCCUGACCGAGCAACGCCGCGUGAGUGAUGAAGGUCUUCGGAUUGUAAAGCUCUGUUGUAAGGGAAGAAUGAAUUGGAUAGAAUCCGAUUGUGACGGUACCUUACCAGAAAGCUACGGCUAACUACGUGCCAGCAGCCGCGGUAAUACGUAGGUAGCGAGCGUUAUCCGGAAUUAUUGGGCGUAAAGGGUGCGUAGGCGGCUUGUUAAGUUUAAGGUGAAAGAAUGGGGCUCAACCCCAUAAAGCCUUAGAUACUGGCAAGCUAGAGUACUGGAGAGGGUAGUGGAAUUCCAUGUGUAGCGGUAAAAUGCGUAGAUAUAUGGAGGAACACCGGUGGCGAAGGCGGCUACCUAGACAGAGACUGACGCUGAGGCACGAAAGCGUGGGGAGCAAAUAGGAUUAGAUACCCUAGUAGUCCACGCCGUAAACGAUGAAUGCUAGAUAUCGGGGCAACUCGGUGUCGAAACUAACGCGAUAAGCAUUCCGCCUGUGGAGUAUGCACGCAAGUGUGAAACAUAAAGGAAUUGACGGGGGCCCGCACAAGCGGUGGAGUAUGUGGUUUAAUUCGACGCAACGCGAAGAACCUUACCAGGCCUUGACAUCCCUGCAAAACUCUAGAGAUAGAGCAGAG
RNAcentral lists this ribosomal RNA (915 nucleotides) under uncultured bacterium. RNAcentral's name for it is "bacterial SSU rRNA". It matches the Rfam family "Bacterial small subunit ribosomal RNA", at positions 98 to 1016 of the family's 1533-position model. The record is from RNAcentral.